This 253-nucleotide ribosomal RNA is filed under the name uncultured bacterium. RNAcentral's name for it is "partial 16S ribosomal RNA". It matches the Rfam family "Bacterial small subunit ribosomal RNA", at positions 524 to 776 of the family's 1533-position model. The record is from RNAcentral.
UACGUAGGGUGCAAGCGUUACUCGGAAUUACUGGGCGUAAAGCGUGCGCAGGCGGUUUUGCAAGACAGAUGUGAAAUCCCCGGGCUCAACCUGGGAACUGCAUUUGUGACUGCAAGGCUAGAGUACGGUAGAGGGGGAUGGAAUUCCGCGUGUAGCAGUGAAAUGCGUAGAUAUGCGGAGGAACACCGAUGGCGAAGGCAAUCCCCUGGACCUGUACUGACGCUCAUGCACGAAAGCGUGGGGAGCAAACAGG